This 84-nucleotide transfer RNA is filed under the name Trametes cingulata. RNAcentral's name for it is "tRNA-Ala". It matches the Rfam family "tRNA". Rfam says of the family: Transfer RNA (tRNA) molecules are approximately 80 nucleotides in length. Their secondary structure includes four short double-helical elements and three loops (D, anti-codon, and T loops). Lineage: Eukaryota; Fungi; Basidiomycota; Agaricomycetes; Polyporales; Polyporaceae. The record is from RNAcentral.
GGGCAUGUGGUGUAGUUGGUUAUCACGCUCGCUUAGCAUUUCUGAGCUUGCGAGAGGGGUCCGGUUCAAUCCCGGACAUGUCCA